GAUGAACGCUGGCGGCGUGCCUAAUACAUGCAAGUCGAGCGAACAGAUAAGGAGCUUGCUCCUUUGACGUUAGCGGCGGACGGGUGAGUAACACGUGGGUAACCUACCUAUAAGACUGGGAUAACUUCGGGAAACCGGAGCUAAUACCGGAUAACAUUUGGAACCGCAUGGUUCUAAAGUGAAAGAUGGUUUUGCUAUCACUUAUAGAUGGACCCGCGCCGUAUUAGCUAGUUGGUAAGGUAACGGCUUACCAAGGCGACGAUACGUAGCCGACCUGAGAGGGUGAUCGGCCACACUGGAACUGAGACACGGUCCAGACUCCUACGGGAGGCAGCAGUAGGGAAUCUUCCGCAAUGGGCGAAAGCCUGACGGAGCAACGCCGCGUGAGUGAUGAAGGGUUUCGGCUCGUAAAACUCUGUUAUUAGGGAAGAACAAAUGUGUAAGUAACUAUGCACGUCCUGACGGUACCUAAUCAGAAAGCCACGGCUAACUACGUG
RNAcentral lists this ribosomal RNA (497 nucleotides) under uncultured bacterium. RNAcentral's name for it is "partial 16S ribosomal RNA". It matches the Rfam family "Bacterial small subunit ribosomal RNA", at positions 28 to 507 of the family's 1533-position model. The record is from RNAcentral.